This 484-nucleotide ribosomal RNA is filed under the name uncultured bacterium. RNAcentral's name for it is "partial 16S ribosomal RNA". It matches the Rfam family "Bacterial small subunit ribosomal RNA", at positions 30 to 507 of the family's 1533-position model. The record is from RNAcentral.
AUUGAACGCUGGCGGCAGGCCUAACACAUGCAAGUCGAGCGGAUGAAGGGAGCUUGCUCCUGGAUUCAGCGGCGGACGGGUGAGUAAUGCCUAUGAAUCGGCCUGGUAGUGGGGGAUAACGUCCGGAAACGGGCGCUAAUACCGCAUACGUCCUGAGGGAGAAAGUGGGGGAUCUUCGGAUCUCACGCUAUCAGAUGAGCCUAGGUCGGAUUAGCUAGUUGGUGGGGUAAAGGCCUACCAAGGCGACGAUCCGUAACUGGUCUGAGAGGAUGAUCAGUCACACUGGAACUGAGACACGGUACAGAGUCUUAGGGGAGGCAGCAGUGGGGAAUAUUGGACAAUGGGGGAAAGCCUGAUCCAGCCAUGCCGCGUGUGUGAAGAAGGUCUUCGGAUUGUAAAGCACUCUAAGUUGGGAGGACGGGCAGUAAGUUAAUACCUUGCUGUUUUGACGUUACCAACAGAAUAAGCACCGGCUAACUUCGUG